This 253-nucleotide ribosomal RNA is filed under the name uncultured bacterium. RNAcentral describes it as "partial 16S ribosomal RNA". It matches the Rfam family "Bacterial small subunit ribosomal RNA", at positions 524 to 776 of the family's 1533-position model. The record is from RNAcentral.
UACGAGGGGUGCAAGCGUUGCUCGGAAUUAUUGGGCGUAAAGGGUAGGUAGGUGGUCUUAUUUGUCUGGGGUGAAAGCCUUGAGCUUAACUCAAGAAGUGCCCCAGAAACGGUAAGACUGGAGUCCUGGAGAGGGUCGUGGAAUUCCCGGUGUAGCGGUGAAAUGCGUAGAGAUCGGGAGGAACACCAGAGGCGAAGGCGGCGACCUGGACAGGCACUGACACUCAACUACGAAAGCGUGGGGAGCAAACAGG